CCUACGGGAGGCAGCAGUGGGGAAUAUUGCACAAUGGGGGAAACCCUGAUGCAGCGACGCCGCGUGAGCGAUGAAGUAUUUCGGUAUGUAAAGCUCUAUCAGCAGGGAAGAAAAUGACGGUACCUGACUAAGAAGCCCCGGCUAACUACGUGCCAGCAGCCGCGGUAAUACGUAGGGGGCAAGCGUUAUCCGGAUUUACUGGGUGUAAAGGGAGCGUAGACGGCGGUGCAAGCCAGAUGUGAAAGCCCGGGGCCAAAACCCGGGCCUGCCGUUGUAACUGUGCUGCUAGAGUGUCGGAGAGGCAGGCGGAAUGCGUAGUGGAGCGGUGAAAUGCGUAGAUAUUAGGAGGAACACCAGUGGCGAAGGCGGCCUGCUGGACGAUGACUGACGUUGAGGCUCGAAAGCGUGGGGAGCAAACAGGAUUAGAUACCCCAGUAGUC
This 440-nucleotide ribosomal RNA is filed under the name uncultured bacterium. RNAcentral's name for it is "partial 16S ribosomal RNA". It matches the Rfam family "Bacterial small subunit ribosomal RNA", at positions 338 to 795 of the family's 1533-position model. The record is from RNAcentral.